This is a long non-coding RNA of Oreochromis aureus, 776 nucleotides long. RefSeq lists it as uncharacterized. The transcript has 3 exons. The record is from RefSeq and is a predicted model, not a curated record. Lineage: Eukaryota; Metazoa; Chordata; Actinopteri; Cichliformes; Cichlidae.
UGUUUCCUGUGUGUGUUGUUAGAAGUCAAACUGUAACUUUAGGAAAAUAUAUGCCAAAAGCACAUUUACAAUUACUUAAGACCGUUUUUAAUUUCUUUUCUUUAGACCAAAUCCCCUGAACACAUAUACGGACUCAGAGGAUGAGCACCGUACUCGAGCCCCUCGAGUGAAAAUACCAGCUCUCGCCACUCCGCAGUCUGCCCCCCAGCCCACUGAUAGCAACCAUCAUAAUGCCCCACCCAGCUUCCAACACACAAACCAACACAGCUUUGCGAUCUCCCCAGAGAUUUGUGUGUGUGUGUGUCUAUUUUUGUCCUAGAUGGCUUGACGCAGCAACCAUGGAGCCCCCAUAUCCAGCUACCAUAGGAUUUCGUCAAGCUGGAGUGGGAUUGAGACAGCAAAUGAAAUGAAACGUCUCUACAAUUCAUCAUCAUUAUCUGCCUUUCUGCACCUGUGAAUGUGUCCUAUUAACUGUGAAAUCUUUUUGUCCUUUCCUUUGCAUCACCUUUUCUCAUUUGUAAAAACAGUUGUACUUUCGAUUCAGCAAGUUUUUAUAGAUAUUUCUUUGAAUACAUAAUUUGAUGGCAUGUAAUUUACUGAUAAGCUUAAUUGUUAAAAAACUCCAAGUUAUGGAUGUCUUCAGUAUCUGUUUUUAAUCAAGACUCGGCUGAUUUAUUAAAAGUUGUGACUUCAAGGGUUUCAAAUUGUCUGACAACUUAUAACAACAUAACUUUUCACUUUGUUGCCAGAUUCAUUUAAUAAACAUAAUUUCACUU